AAUGAACGUUGGCGGCGUGGAUUAGGCAUGCAAGUCGAACGGGCCGCAAGGCCAGUGGCGGAAGGGUGAGUAAGGCGACGGCAACCAACCCCGGGCUUGGGUAUAGCCGGCGGAAACGCCGGGUAAUCCCCAGCGAAGUCCACCGCGGGCAUCCGCGGAGGACCAAAGGUGAGAUUCCGGCACGGGACGGGCCGUCGUGGUAUUAGGUAGUUGGUGGGGUCACGGCCCACCAAGCCGACGAUGCCUACCGGGUGUGAGAGCAUGGCCCGGCACACUGGAACUGAGACACGGUCCAGACUCCUACGGGAGGCAGCAGUGGGGAAUAUUGGACAAUGGGCGAAAGCCUGAUCCAGCCAUGCCGCGUGUGUGAAGAAGGUCUUCGGGAUUGUAAAGCACUUUAAGUUGGGAGGAAGGGCAGUAAGUUAAUACCUUGCUGUUUUGACGUUACCAACAGAAUAAGCACCGGCUAACUUCGUG
This 477-nucleotide ribosomal RNA is filed under the name uncultured bacterium. RNAcentral describes it as "bacterial SSU rRNA". It matches the Rfam family "Bacterial small subunit ribosomal RNA", at positions 29 to 507 of the family's 1533-position model. The record is from RNAcentral.